GGCAGGGACGAGGCGGUGAAGGAGCAGCUCUCCUCCUGAGCCUCCAUCCCAGAGAAGACAGAGCGGCAGCAGAGUCCCUCCUCGGCUCAACGCUUCAUCCCCCUGCAGCUUCUGAAGUUCACACCGAGACGCCCGUCGUGAGGUCAAAAGAACACGAUGUACUGAGAGUGUGAGCUGUGACUGAACCUGCCAAGACUGACUGUCCUGAACACACAGGAUCCUUUAGGAGUCGAUGCAGAGUCCAGCGACAACAGGAGCCUCAACGCUCACCUGGUGUUUCACAAAACACAAGAGUGCAGAUAACAGAUACGAAUCCCACACACACUAACACACAAACCCUAACAAAUCAUAUUUCUUUCUAUUAAUUCAACUAAUGAACAUAUUUUCUAGCAUGGAGUUGGAGUCAUUUUGGUGGACAAACUGUAUCCUAAAAUAAUUCCUGUAUUUCCCCAAGCGUCUUGUUCUGACCGAAAGGA
Long non-coding RNA from Amphiprion ocellaris (clown anemonefish), 476 nucleotides. The record is from Ensembl. Lineage: Eukaryota; Metazoa; Chordata; Actinopteri; Pomacentridae.